This 433-nucleotide ribosomal RNA is filed under the name uncultured bacterium. Its description in RNAcentral is "partial 16S ribosomal RNA". It matches the Rfam family "Bacterial small subunit ribosomal RNA", at positions 29 to 507 of the family's 1533-position model. The record is from RNAcentral.
AACGAACGCUGGCGGCAUGCCUAACACAUGCCAGUCGAACGAGACCUUCGGGUCUAGUGGCGCACGGGUGCGUAACGCGUGGGAACCUGCCCUUAGGUUCGGAAUAACUCCCCGAAAGGGGUGCUAAUACCGGAUAAUGUCUUCGGACCAAAGAUUUAUCGCCUUUGGAUGGGCCCGCGUUGGAUUAGCUAGUUGGUAGGGUAAAAGCCUACCAAGGCGACGAUCCAUAGCUGGUCUGAGAGGAUGAUCAGCCACACUGGGACUGAGACACGGCCCAGACUCCUACGGGAGGAAGCAGUGGGGAAUAUUGGACAAUGGGCGAAAGCCUGAUCCAGCAAUGCCGCGUGAGUGAUGAAGGCCUUAGGGUUGUAAAGCUCUUUUACCCGGGAUGAUAAUGACAGUACCGGGAGAAUAAGCUCCGGCUAACUCCGUG